GGUCAAGUUAUUAAGGGUGCAGGGCGGAUGCCUUGGCACUAGGAGCCGAUGAAGGACGUGAUAAGCUGCGAUAAGCUUCGGGGAGUUGCACGUAAACUUUGAU
RNAcentral lists this ribosomal RNA (103 nucleotides) under Clostridioides difficile. RNAcentral's name for it is "partial 23S ribosomal RNA". It matches the Rfam family "Bacterial large subunit ribosomal RNA", at positions 1 to 103 of the family's 2925-position model. Lineage: Bacteria; Bacillati; Bacillota; Clostridia; Peptostreptococcales; Peptostreptococcaceae. The record is from RNAcentral.